This 367-nucleotide ribosomal RNA is filed under the name Capitella nonatoi. RNAcentral describes it as "partial 16S ribosomal RNA". It matches the Rfam family "Bacterial large subunit ribosomal RNA", at positions 1930 to 2531 of the family's 2925-position model. Lineage: Eukaryota; Metazoa; Annelida; Polychaeta; Capitellidae. The record is from RNAcentral.
GCUGCGGUAAUUUGACUGUACUAAGGUAGCACAAUCAUUUGCCCUUUAAUUGUGGGCUGGUAUGAAUGGGUAAACGAGGGUAAAGCUGUCUCUUGUAUAUGACUAAAAGUUAAACUUUAAGUGAAUAUGCUUAAAUAGGGGUAAAAGACAAGAAGACCCCAAGAGCUUUAAUAAAAUCUCAGAUAAGGCUAUAUUUGAGUGUUAUUUUGGUUGGGGCGACAGAGGACUAAACUAUAGCGUCUUUUUUAGUGAAGAAUUUGAUUCUUUGUUGAUCCGUUGUGCGAUUAGAAGAAGUAGCUACCUUGGGGAUAACAGGCUAAUUUAUUCGGAGAGUCCCUAUUGAUGAAUUAAGUUUGGCACCUCGAUG